UACGUAGGUGGCAAGCGUUAUCCGGAAUUAUUGGGCGUAAAGAGCGCGCAGGUGGUUAAUUAAGUCUGAUGUGAAAGCCCACGGCUUAACCGUGGAGGGUCAUUGGAAACUGGUUGACUUGAGUGCAGAAGAGGGAAGUGGAAUACCAUGUGUAGCGGUGAAAUGCGUAGAGAUAUGGAGGAACACCAGUGGCGAAGGCGGCUUCCUGGUCUGCAACUGACACUGAGGCGCGAAAGCGUGGGGAGCAAACAGG
This 253-nucleotide ribosomal RNA is filed under the name uncultured bacterium. Its description in RNAcentral is "partial 16S ribosomal RNA". It matches the Rfam family "Bacterial small subunit ribosomal RNA", at positions 524 to 776 of the family's 1533-position model. The record is from RNAcentral.